UACGUAGGGUCCGAGCGUUGUCCGGAAUUAUUGGGCGUAAAGAGCUCGUAGGCGGUCUGUCGCGUCGGCUGUGAAAACCCGGGGCUCAACUCCGGGCCUGCAGUCGAUACGGGCAGACUAGAGUUCGGUAGGGGAGACUGGAAUUCCUGGUGUAGCGGUGAAAUGCGCAGAUAUCAGGAGGAACACCGGUGGCGAAGGCGGGUCUCUGGGCCGAAACUGACGCUGAGACGCGAAAGCGUGGGGAGCGAACAGG
RNAcentral lists this ribosomal RNA (253 nucleotides) under uncultured bacterium. RNAcentral's name for it is "partial 16S ribosomal RNA". It matches the Rfam family "Bacterial small subunit ribosomal RNA", at positions 524 to 776 of the family's 1533-position model. The record is from RNAcentral.